AGCUGCCAUGUACUAGGCCACGUGGCAAGGGCCUGGUUGGGGACCUCCAGGGGUUGAGAGCAUCCUCUGGACAACAUGGAAAAAGAAAAUGAAAAUGGUGACCUCAGCCCUAUAGCUAGAAGGAAUUGAAUCCUGUCAACAACGAUACUCAUCACUCACUGCAGAUGUUACUUUAAGACAUUCUGGAGCAGCGUCAUGUGCAGGAGAAAAUAGUAUCAUCUCAGCCUUCUAUGAAAUCAAGGCAAUAUGUGCGUAGUGCCUCCGCCCAUCUCUCUCUUGCUCCUGGUCUCAUCGUGACGGGCCUGGUCCUGCCUCACUUUAUGCCACGACUAAGAGCUCCCUGAGGCCUCUCCAGAAGCAGAUAUCACUAUGCUUCCUACACAGCCUGCAGAACCGAACAAUAAGGAAGUGAGUGCUUUUGUAAUUCCUGAACAACUGUGUCUUACACUUACUAAGUUCUCUUGCCUGCCACCAUGUAAGAUAUGCUUUUACUCUUCCGCCUUCCACCGUGACUGUGAGGCCUCCCCAGCCAUGUGAAACUGCCUUUGAGCUUAUACUGAAUUAUACCACCAGCUUUCCUAGGUCUUGAAGCUUACAGACAGCAGAUCUUGGGACUUCUCAGGCACCAUAAUCAAUCAUAGAUAAAUGAUCCAAUGAUUCGGAACUUGAAAAGUGGUAGCUUUAUGAAUUCUCCUUAAGAAGAAACCUGUGCCCUGAUCUUGCCUACUCACCCAAAGGCACUGUGAGAUAGCAUCAAAGGAACAGCUAGUAAGAGACACAGAGCCAGAAAUCAGGGAAGUAAAAUACACUUGACAUCUACGUUCGGAAAGAAAUUUUAGGAGGCAGAAGCAAAUGGAUCAGAAGCUGCUUAUAUUUUUGCAAGAUUACCAAAGAAACCAUUGGUGGAGAAAGUUCUGUGACCAACUUGUCUGAGUCUAGUAAGAUUGAACGCUCACACACAAGUUUCAUGAAGUGGGUUUGAUACUUACAGAUAAGCAGCAAGGACCAACAGAAGCUGAUGAUCUAUGGUGAACUUUUUCCCAAGGCUCCGGAAAGCUGCCUAAAGUAGAUGGAGUCUUCUCUGUGUGUGCCCCACUGGUCCUGCAGUUGAAGGAUCCGGUAAAGCAGCCUGCCCUUGGUUUUAUACUCCAGAGGAACGUGAUUCGCUGGACUAAAGCAUUGAAGUGCAUCCUGUUUCCGGGGGGCACUGGAACAGAGCCUGGUCUGUUCUAGCCAGUCCCUUUCUAUCUCAGGAUAACAUUCUACAGUUAUUCUUGAGAACUAUAAUCAAAUAAGCAGGGAGAACUGGAGGCUCAUUGUGGAACCCUCAAGGAGCAUGGGGUCGUCUUCAUCCCUCAGUUUAUAAAUGGCCAAGGAGAGUAAUGCAACAAAAACUUCUCAGAGUUAAAAGCCAGAGUUCCUAAAGAACCGUGGACAAAGGGUUCUGUCUAGUGGGCAGAAUUCAUCCAGCGAAGGUCUCCUAACUACAGAGGGUCACAUCUGGAUCUGAUGGCACCUACAGAACUUGGACUCUGAGCGACAAUCAGUGACCAGGAAAUUUGGAACCCAGGUUUUCCCAACCUACAUCUACAAAAUGGAAUGGGUCUGAUUCGCAAGUUUUCAGAGAAAGAAGCCAACCUUAAUCAGACUGUGAUAUGAUGAGGAAAUAAAACUUGCUGUGCUAAUC
This is a long non-coding RNA of Homo sapiens (human), 1687 nucleotides long. Ensembl annotates it as long intergenic non-protein coding RNA 2241. The record is from Ensembl. NCBI's taxonomy places the organism in Eukaryota, Metazoa, Chordata, Mammalia, Primates, Hominidae.